This 641-nucleotide ribosomal RNA is filed under the name Xylodon sp. RNAcentral's name for it is "partial small subunit ribosomal RNA". It matches the Rfam family "Bacterial small subunit ribosomal RNA", at positions 363 to 949 of the family's 1533-position model. Lineage: Eukaryota; Fungi; Basidiomycota; Agaricomycetes; Hymenochaetales; Schizoporaceae. The record is from RNAcentral.
AUUAGUCAAUGCUCGCAAGAGUGAACUAGCUAACUGAAAUCAAAGGUGUGUCACCCUUGAUAAGGUAAAGGAAAAGAAAAGAUAUUACUUUACUAUUAGUGUCGUCCAAAUACUCGUGCCAGAAGACUCGGUAAGGCGAGAGACGCAAACGUUAGUCGUCCUGAUCAGGCGUAAAGGGUUUGUAGGCGGCUUUAAGCAUUUCAUUCUUCUAAAUUACAGCUUAAAUGGUUAAAUAUGAAAAUUCAUUUAAUUUUAAAUGUUUUAGAUUCUUUAAUUUAUUUAAGUUUGGUGAAAGAAAAAAUCAAUUAAAGCUAGAAUCAAAUAGAGGUCAAAUUAAAUAAUACUUGGUGUAAGAUUGGUAUCUUUAAAUACCAAGCGGAAUACUAACGGCGAAGGCUUUUUUCCAUUAAUGAUUGACGCUGAGAAACUAAGGUGAGGGCAUAAAAAAGGAUUAGAGACCCUAGUAUUCCUCACUGUCAACGAUGAAUGGUAGUUACUAGACAUAAAUUAUUUUCAUUAAUAAAAAGAUUCUAGAGACGAUGUUAACACGAAAACCAUUCCGCCUUGUGAGUACGACUGCAAAGUUGAAAACAAAAAAAUUAGUCGGUUUCGGAGCAAACGGAGUGAAGCAUGUUAUUUAA